UGAGCUCGAUGAGUAGGGCGGGACACGUGGUAUCCUGUCUGAAUAUGGGGGGACCAUCCUCCAAGGCUAAAUACUCCUGACUGACCGAUAGUGAACCAGUACCGUGAGGGAAAGGCGAAAAGAACCCCGGCGAGGGGAGUGAAAAAGAACCUGAAACCGUGUACGUACAAGCAGUGGGAGCACGCUUAGGCGUGUGACUGCGUACCUUUUGUAUAAUGGGUCAGCGACUUAUAUUCUGUAGCAAGGUUAACCGAAUAGGGGAGCCGAAGGGAAACCGAGUCUUAACUGGGCGUUAAGUUGCAGGGUAUAGACCCGAAACCCGGUGAUCUAGCCAUGGGCAGGUUGAAGGUUGGGUAACACUAACUGGAGGACCGAACCGACUAAUGUUGAAAAAUUAGCGGAUGACUUGUGGCUGGGGGUGAAAGGCCAAUCAAACCGGGAGAUAGCUGGUUCUCCCCGAAAGCUAUUUAGGUAGCGCCUCGUGAAUUCAUCUCCGGGGGUAGAGCACUGUUUCGGCAAGGGGGUCAUCCCGACUUACCAACCCGAUGCAAACUGCGAAUACCGGAGAAUGUUAUCACGGGAGACACACGGCGGGUGCUAACGUCCGUCGUGAAGAGGGAAACAACCCAGACCGCCAGCUAAGGUCCCAAAGUCAUGGUUAAGUGGGAAACGAUGUGGGAAGGCCCAGACAGCCAGGAUGUUGGCUUAGAAGCAGCCAUCAUUUAAAGAAAGCGUAAUAGCUCACUGGUCGAGUCGGCCUGCGCGGAAGAUGUAACGGGGCUAAACCAUGCACCGAAGCUGCGGCAGCGACGCUGAUGCGUUGUUGGGUAGGGGAGCGUUCUGUAAGCCUGCGAAGGUGUGCUGUGAGGCAUGCUGGAGGUAUCAGAAGUGCGAAUGCUGACAUAAGUAACGAUAAAGCGGGUGAAAAGCCCGCUCGCCGGAAGACCAAGGGUUCCUGUCCAACGUUAAUCGGGGCAGGGUGAGUCGACCCCUAAGGCGAGGCCGAAAGGCGUAGUCGAUGGGAAACAGGUUAAUAUUCCUGUACUUGGUGUUACUGCGAAGGGGGGACGGAGAAGGCUAUGUUGGCCGGGCGACGGUUGUCCCGGUUUAAGCGUGUAGGCUGGUUUUCCAGGCAAAUCCGGAAAAUCAAGGCUGAGGCGUGAUGACGAGGCACUACGGUGCUGAAGCAACAAAUGCCCUGCUUCCAGGAAAAGCCUCUAAGCAUCAGGUAACAUCAAAUCGUACCCCAAACCGACACAGGUGGUCAGGUAGAGAAUACCAAGGCGCUUGAGAGAACUCGGGUGAAGGAACUAGGCAAAAUGGUGCCGUAACUUCGGGAGAAGGCACGCUGAUAUGUAGGUGAAGCGACUUGCUCGUGGAGCUGAAAUCAGUCGAAGAUACCAGCUGGCUGCAACUGUUUAUUAAAAACACAGCACUGUGCAAACACGAAAGUGGACGUAUACGGUGUGACGCCUGCCCGGUGCCGGAAGGUUAAUUGAUGGGGU
This 1505-nucleotide ribosomal RNA is filed under the name Escherichia coli. Its description in RNAcentral is "partial 23S ribosomal RNA". It matches the Rfam family "Bacterial large subunit ribosomal RNA", at positions 400 to 1890 of the family's 2925-position model. Lineage: Bacteria; Pseudomonadati; Pseudomonadota; Gammaproteobacteria; Enterobacterales; Enterobacteriaceae. The record is from RNAcentral.